Molecule: non-coding RNA, 1627 nt
Organism: Equus caballus (horse)
Lineage: Eukaryota; Metazoa; Chordata; Mammalia; Perissodactyla; Equidae
Source: RefSeq, a predicted model, not a curated record
CCCUUCAUAAGAUGAGAGUUGUUAAGACAAUUGAACAGGAUUAUGAAAGGACAAUGGGAGGAUGUUUUCAUUUUUGUUUUUAAUUUUACUAAAUAUCGCUUAAAAUGUGCUCUCUUGAACAAGAUUUAAAACAUGCAUAAUCUGUCCUCAAGGACCGGGGAUGGAAAAAAGGCCUGGGGUAACUCUGGCCCGAACGAGCAGCUGUAGCUCCUUUGUGUUGUCUACCUCAGAGCCAAGUGGAGGAGACACCGAGAUAUUGUGACUGUAAACCCAGAGGCUUAUUCCACACUAUAUUUUUUCCAAAACUAUAGCAGUAGCCUGGGAACCUAUAUAAGAAUUUGAUUUCUGGUCUUCCCAUUCAACAAUUUUGCUACAUAACAAAUAAGUACUGAAUUCCAAGCUGAUGGCCCUGCCCUGCCACCCUCUGAGUUAUUGCUUAGUAACUAGCGUGGGCUUGUUCUGAUCCAGCCACAGCAACCACCUUAGGCAAAGACUGUGCAGUCAGUGUGCCCCUUCCCCUUGCCUUGGUGGUCCAUCUCUCCUCUUCUGAUACCCCCAGCCAUCAUUAUGCUGUCCUUGGUCCACGUAGAUCUUCUUAUCUCCAUGUCACAUGCAAGAUGUCAUCUUUUAAUUUGGACUUUCACGGCUUCCUUCUCCAAUAAUAUUUUAUUUGUUCCAUUUUCACCUCCUUUGGGGUCUUCUUCAAAGAUAAAUAAUGGAGAAGAAUGAAGCUCCCUGUAGCAAUUAAACCUAAGACUUUGGACUCAUUAGCGCGACUUUCUAAAGUGCUAAGCAGAAAGGCCAUAUUUAAGUCCAAUACAAACACCUGUCCUUACAUGCCCCAGCCCCCAUUGCAGGAGGAGGAAAUCGUGCUGGUGUGUUUAAAGGCUGAAAGUAAGGAAGGAAACCUUAAUCCAAGUAAAUUGAAAAUAAAUAUUAUUUUUCUCUAAGGCUGCACCAGCGUGAAAAAUCUCCUUUCAAGAAACAGACUUCGCUAUUAGUUCUCAAUGCACCAAAAAGUCAGCAGUGGUAGCUCCGCCUCCUCUCCUCCCCCAAAAGAAAUCUUCCUCGACUUACAAUGGAGUUACAUCCUGAUUUGCCCAUCAUACGUUGAAAAUAUCAAAUCACCAAGAAUAAGAGGAUUCAGUCAAAAUUUCUGAGACAAUCUCCUCUGGCUGAGCAAGAGGUGGUCCAAAAGCUUCUGCUUCUUUUGAGUUGCACUUAUGGUGUUGCUUUUUCUCACAGUCGACAGUGGAAGCAACAACGGGUAGGUGUGCUCCAGGAUGUGUGGUUUCAGUGGAUGCUCCUAAUGCAAGCAAAGAAGGGACUGUAAAUAAAGCAGACGUGCAGAUGCUACUACUGUGAGAAGCGCUGGGUCUUUUCCCUAAUGCUCAGUGAAUCCCCAUGACUCCAGGACACUCUUGACUUCCAGCCAAUACAUCACAGUCUUCCCCUGCAAUGGCUACAGAGAGAGGUUAAAAAAAAUAGCCCACAAGAGUGCUCUUUCCUUCUCUCUCUGCUCCUUCAGCUCCAAGAAUAGACUCAUUGACGAAGUGUGUCUCUGUGUGUCUGUCUGUUACCCCAUGAUGCAUGCUGCUUCUUAUCCUGUUCUUGGGCCUUUCCUAGA